This 1135-nucleotide long non-coding RNA is filed under the name Homo sapiens (human). RNAcentral describes it as "HSALNT0059572". Lineage: Eukaryota; Metazoa; Chordata; Mammalia; Primates; Hominidae. The record is from RNAcentral.
CCCUCAGCCUCCCCCAGACCACAUUCCUUGGAUUACAGCUGUACUUCCAACAGUUAUUAUAUGUGUGAUGGUUUUCUGUCUAAUUCUAUGGAAAUGGAAGAAGAAGAAGCGGCCUCGCAACUCUUAUAAAUGUGGAACCAACACAAUGGAGAGGGAAGAGAGUGAACAGACCAAGAAAAGAGAAAAAAUCCAUAUACCUGAAAGAUCUGAUGAAGCCCAGCGUGUUUUUAAAAGUUCGAAGACAUCUUCAUGCGACAAAAGUGAUACAUGUUUUUAAUUAAAGAGUAAAGCCCAUACAAGUAUUCAUUUUUUCUACCCUUUCCUUUGUAAGUUCCUGGGCAACCUUUUUGAUUUCUUCCAGAAGGCAAAAAGACAUUACCAUGAGUAAUAAGGGGGCUCCAGGACUCCCUCUAAGUGGAAUAGCCUCCCUGUAACUCCAGCUCUGCUCCGUAUGCCAAGAGGAGACUUUAAUUCUCUUACUGCUUCUUUUCACUUCAGAGCACACUUAUGGGCCAAGCCCAGCUUAAUGGCUCAUGACCUGGAAAUAAAAUUUAGGACCAAUACCUCCUCCAGAUCAGAUUCUUCUCUUAAUUUCAUAGAUUGUGUUUUUUUUUUAAAUAGACCUCUCAAUUUCUGGAAAACUGCCUUUUAUCUGCCCAGAAUUCUAAGCUGGUGCCCCACUGAAUUUUGUGUGUACCUGUGACUAAACAACUACCUCCUCAGUCUGGGUGGGACUUAUGUAUUUAUGACCUUAUAGUGUUAAUAUCUUGAAACAUAGAGAUCUAUGUACUGUAAUAGUGUGAUUACUAUGCUCUAGAGAAAAGUCUACCCCUGCUAAGGAGUUCUCAUCCCUCUGUCAGGGUCAGUAAGGAAAACGGUGGCCUAGGGUACAGGCAACAAUGAGCAGACCAACCUAAAUUUGGGGAAAUUAGGAGAGGCAGAGAUAGAACCUGGAGCCACUUCUAUCUGGGCUGUUGCUAAUAUUGAGGAGGCUUGCCCCACCCAACAAGCCAUAGUGGAGAGAACUGAAUAAACAGGAAAAUGCCAGAGCUUGUGAACCCUGUUUCUCUUGAAGAACUGACUAGUGAGAUGGCCUGGGGAAGCUGUGAAAGAACCAAAAGAGAUCACAAUACUC